This 74-nucleotide transfer RNA is filed under the name Anaerolineae bacterium. RNAcentral's name for it is "tRNA-Arg". It matches the Rfam family "tRNA". Rfam says of the family: Transfer RNA (tRNA) molecules are approximately 80 nucleotides in length. The record is from RNAcentral. Lineage: Bacteria; Bacillati; Chloroflexota; Anaerolineae.
GCCCCGGUGGCUCAAGUGGACAGAGCAAGUGCCUUCUAAGCACAAGGUUAGAGGUUCGAGUCCUCUCCGGGGUA